RNAcentral lists this ribosomal RNA (3028 nucleotides) under Salmonella enterica subsp. enterica serovar Indiana. Its description in RNAcentral is "23S ribosomal RNA". It matches the Rfam family "Bacterial large subunit ribosomal RNA". The record is from RNAcentral. Lineage: Bacteria; Pseudomonadati; Pseudomonadota; Gammaproteobacteria; Enterobacterales; Enterobacteriaceae.
GGGUUGUGAGGUUAAGCGACUAAGCGUACACGGUGGAUGCCCUGGCAGUCAGAGGCGAUGAAGGACGUGCUAAUCUGCGAUAAGCGCCGGUAAGGUGAUAUGAACCGUUAUAACCGGCGAUUUCCGAAUGGGGAAACCCAGUGUGACUCGUCACACUAUCAUUAACUGAAUCCAUAGGUUAAUGAGGCGAACCGGGGGAACUGAAACAUCUAAGUACCCCGAGGAAAAGAAAUCAACCGAGAUUCCCCCAGUAGCGGCGAGCGAACGGGGAGGAGCCCAGAGCCUGAAUCAGCAUGUGUGUUAGUGGAAGCGUCUGGAAAGGCGCGCGAUACAGGGUGACAGCCCCGUACACAAAAGCGCAUGUGCUGUGAGCUCGAUGAGUAGGGCGGGACACGUGGUAUCCUGUCUGAAUAUGGGGGGACCAUCCUCCAAGGCUAAAUACUCCUGACUGACCGAUAGUGAACCAGUACCGUGAGGGAAAGGCGAAAAGAACCCCGGCGAGGGGAGUGAAAAAGAACCUGAAACCGUGUACGUACAAGCAGUGGGAGCCCCACCACUAAGCCAGUGGUGAACUCCACAUACGCAUCCUUUGCUGAUGGCAAUGGUUAACGGAGCGAAAGCGACGUUCAACCGCAAAACAAGCAGAGGGGGCUUAGUGGUGGGGUGACUGCGUACCUUUUGUAUAAUGGGUCAGCGACUUAUAUUCUGUAGCAAGGUUAACCGUAUAGGGGAGCCGCAGGGAAACCGAGUCUUAACCGGGCGUUAAGUUGCAGGGUAUAGACCCGAAACCCGGUGAUCUAGCCAUGGGCAGGUUGAAGGUUGGGUAACACUAACUGGAGGACCGAACCGACUAAUGUUGAAAAAUUAGCGGAUGACCUGUGGCUGGGGGUGAAAGGCCAAUCAAACCGGGAGAUAGCUGGUUCUCCCCGAAAGCUAUUUAGGUAGCGCCUCGUGAAUUCAUCUCCGGGGGUAGAGCACUGUUUCGGCUAGGGGGCCAUCCCGGCUUACCAACCCGAUGCAAACUGCGAAUACCGGAGAAUGUUAUCACGGGAGACACACGGCGGGUGCUAACGUCCGUCGUGAAGAGGGAAACAACCCAGACCGCCAGCUAAGGUCCCAAAGUCAUGGUUAAGUGGGAAACGAUGUGGGAAGGCCCAGACAGCCAGGAUGUUGGCUUAGAAGCAGCCAUCAUUUAAAGAAAGCGUAAUAGCUCACUGGUCGAGUCGGCCUGCGCGGAAGAUGUAACGGGGCUAAACCAUGCACCGAAGCUGCGGCAGCGACACUGUGUGUUGUUGGGUAGGGGAGCGUUCUGUAAGCCUGCGAAGGUGGCCUGUGAGGGUUGCUGGAGGUAUCAGAAGUGCGAAUGCUGACAUAAGUAACGAUAAAGCGGGUGAAAAGCCCGCUCGCCGGAAGACCAAGGGUUCCUGUCCAACGUUAAUCGGGGCAGGGUGAGUCGACCCCUAAGGCGAGGCCGAAAGGCGUAGUCGAUGGGAAACGGGUUAAUAUUCCCGUACUUGGUGUUACUGCGAAGGGGGGACGGAGAAGGCUAUGUUGGCCGGGCGACGGUUGUCCCGGUUUAAGCGUGUAGGUGUGUGUUCCAGGUAAAUCCGGUUCACUUUAACACUGAGGCGUGACGACGAGGCACUACGGUGCUGAAGCAACAAAUGCCCUGCUUCCAGGAAAAGCCUCUAAGCAUCAGGUAACAUCAAAUCGUACCCCAAACCGACACAGGUGGUCAGGUAGAGAAUACCAAGGCGCUUGAGAGAACUCGGGUGAAGGAACUAGGCAAAAUGGUGCCGUAACUUCGGGAGAAGGCACGCUGACACGUAGGUGAAGUGAUUUACUCAUGGAGCUGAAGUCAGUCGAAGAUACCAGCUGGCUGCAACUGUUUAUUAAAAACACAGCACUGUGCAAACACGAAAGUGGACGUAUACGGUGUGACGCCUGCCCGGUGCCGGAAGGUUAAUUGAUGGGGUCAGCGCAAGCGAAGCUCCUGAUCGAAGCCCCGGUAAACGGCGGCCGUAACUAUAACGGUCCUAAGGUAGCGAAAUUCCUUGUCGGGUAAGUUCCGACCUGCACGAAUGGCGUAAUGAUGGCCAGGCUGUCUCCACCCGAGACUCAGUGAAAUUGAACUCGCUGUGAAGAUGCAGUGUACCCGCGGCAAGACGGAAAGACCCCGUGAACCUUUACUAUAGCUUGACACUGAACAUUGAGCCUUGAUGUGUAGGAUAGGUGGGAGGCUUUGAAGUGUGGACGCCAGUCUGCAUGGAGCCGACCUUGAAAUACCACCCUUUAAUGUUUGAUGUUCUAACGUGGACCCGUAAUCCGGGUUGCGGACAGUGUCUGGUGGGUAGUUUGACUGGGGCGGUCUCCUCCUAAAGAGUAACGGAGGAGCACGAAGGUUGGCUAAUCCUGGUCGGACAUCAGGAGGUUAGUGCAAUGGCAUAAGCCAGCUUGACUGCGAGCGUGACGGCGCGAGCAGGUGCGAAAGCAGGUCAUAGUGAUCCGGUGGUUCUGAAUGGAAGGGCCAUCGCUCAACGGAUAAAAGGUACUCCGGGGAUAACAGGCUGAUACCGCCCAAGAGUUCAUAUCGACGGCGGUGUUUGGCACCUCGAUGUCGGCUCAUCACAUCCUGGGGCUGAAGUAGGUCCCAAGGGUAUGGCUGUUCGCCAUUUAAAGUGGUACGCGAGCUGGGUUUAGAACGUCGUGAGACAGUUCGGUCCCUAUCUGCCGUGGGCGCUGGAGAACUGAGGGGGGCUGCUCCUAGUACGAGAGGACCGGAGUGGACGCAUCACUGGUGUUCGGGUUGUCAUGCCAAUGGCACUGCCCGGUAGCUAAAUGCGGAAGAGAUAAGUGCUGAAAGCAUCUAAGCACGAAACUUGCCCCGAGAUGAGUUCUCCCUGAGACUUAAAGUCUCCUGAAGGAACGUUGAAGACGACGACGUUGAUAGGCCGGGUGUGUAAGCGCAGCGAUGCGUUGAGCUAACCGGUACUAAUGAACCGUGAGGCUUAACCUUACAACGCCGAAG